This is a long non-coding RNA of Phyllopteryx taeniolatus (common seadragon), 428 nucleotides long. RefSeq lists it as uncharacterized. NCBI's taxonomy places the organism in Eukaryota, Metazoa, Chordata, Actinopteri, Syngnathiformes, Syngnathidae. The record is from RefSeq and is a predicted model, not a curated record. The transcript is spliced from 3 exons.
GCAAGUUAACAGGGAUGUUUAUUAGGGAUCGGCAUUAUGAUUGAGUAGUCAAAUAAUUUAUGGUUAAGAAUUCUGUCAAUUUUGUGGAAUUGAUUAUUGAUUACUCUUGUCUUGAAGCAAAAAUGGCGUGCACUGUUUAUUCAGUCUCAACUAGUUUUGCUGUCUAAAGAAGGAUAACACAGUGCCAGCUAACAAAUCAACACUGGGAUCCUCCUGAGGCGAGGGGGAAAGAGGAUCAUAAUCUGAGUUUGUGCCCCUUUGAAUUACACAUCAUCCAAACACAAUAUUGACAGAGGAUCGAUUUCCCUCCCUCCUGUCCAACCACCGCUGCGACGUGACAAUCCGCGCUCAGUUGGCCCGGGUCACCGCGGAUGAGUGUCCUCGACUUGGUCGAGACAAUGGAAAGUAUUGAAGCACGGCUUAAUGAG